This 306-nucleotide ribosomal RNA is filed under the name uncultured bacterium. RNAcentral's name for it is "partial 16S ribosomal RNA". It matches the Rfam family "Bacterial small subunit ribosomal RNA", at positions 507 to 809 of the family's 1533-position model. The record is from RNAcentral.
GACAGCAGUAGCCGCGGUAAUACGUAGGUGGCAAGCGUUGUCCGGAAUUAUUGGGCGUAAAGGGCUCGCAGGCGGUUUCUUAAGUCUGAUGUGAAAGCCCCCGGCUCAACCGGGGAGGGUCAUUGGAAACUGGGAAACUUGAGUGCAGAAGAGGAGAGUGGAAUUCCACGUGUAGCGGUGAAAUGCGUAGAGAUGUGGAGGAACACCAGUGGCGAAGGCGACUCUCUGGUCUGUAACUGACGCUGAGGAGCGAAAGCGUGGGGAGCGAACAGGAUUAGAUACCCGAGUAGUCCCUGUCUCUUAUAA